CAUGAAGACGGAAUUGCUAGUAAUCGCGAAUCAGCAUGUCGCGGUGAAUACGUUCCCGGGCCUUGUACACACCGCCCGUCAAACCAUGAGAGUUGGGAAUACCCGAAGUCUGUAAUCUAACCGCAAGGAGGAUGCAGCCGAAGGUAGGCUCAAUGAUUGGGGUUAAGUCGUAACAAGGUAUC
RNAcentral lists this ribosomal RNA (182 nucleotides) under uncultured bacterium. Its description in RNAcentral is "partial 16S ribosomal RNA". It matches the Rfam family "Bacterial small subunit ribosomal RNA", at positions 1319 to 1500 of the family's 1533-position model. The record is from RNAcentral.